CGGAGCAACGCCGCGUGAGUGAUGAAGGUUUUCGGAUCGUAAAGCUCUGUUGUUAGGGAAGAACAAGUGCGAGAGUAACUGCUCGCACUUGACGGUACCUAACCAGAAAGCCACGGCUAACUACGUGCCAGCAGCCGCGGUAAUACGUAGGUGGCAAGCGUUGUCCGGAAUUAUUGGGCGUAAAGGGCUCGCAGGCGGUUUCUUAAGUCUGAUGUGAAAGCCCCCGGCUCAACCGGGGAGGGUCAUUGGAAACUGGGAAACUUGAGUGCAGAAGAGGAGAGUGGAAUUCCACGUGUAGCGGUGAAAUGCGUAGAGAUGUGGAGGAACACCAGUGGCGAAGGCGACUCUCUGGUCUGUAACUGACGCUGAGGAGCGAAAGCGUGGGGAGCGAACAGGAUUAGAUACCCUGGUAGUCCACGCCGUAAACGAUGAGUGCUAAGUGUUAGGGGGUUUCCGCCCCUUAGUGCUGCAGCUAACGCAUUAAGCACUCCGCCUGGGGAGUACGGUCGCAAGACUGAAACUCAAAGGAAUUGACGGGGGCCCGCACAAGCGGUGGAGCAUGUGGUUUAAUUCGAAGCAACGCGAAGAACCUUACCAGGUCUUGACAUCCUCUGACAACCCUAGAGAUAGGGCUUUCCCUUCGGGGACAGAGUGACAGGUGGUGCAUGGUUGUCGUCAGCUCGUGUCGUGAGAUGUUGGGUUAAGUCCCGCAACGAGCGCAACCCUUGAUCUUAGUUGCCAGCAUUCAGUUGGGCACUCUAAGGUGACUGCCGGUGACAAACCGGAGGAAGGUGGGGAUGACGUCAAAUCAUCAUGCCCCUUAUGACCUGGGCUACACACGUGCUACAAUGGACAGAACAAAGGGCUGCAAGACCGCAAGGUUUAGCCAAUCCCAUAAAUCUGUUCUCAGUUCGGAUCGCAGUCUGCAACUCGACUGCGUGAAGCUGGAAUCGCUAGUAAUCGCGGAUCAGCAUGCCGCGGUGAAUACGUUCCCGGGCCUUGUACACACCGCCCGUCACACCACGAGAGUUUGCAACACCCGAAGUCGGUGAGGUAACCUUUAUGGAGCCAGCCGCCGAAGUUGUCAAGAAUUU
Molecule: ribosomal RNA, 1094 nt
Filed under: Bacillus sp. (in: firmicutes)
Lineage: Bacteria; Bacillati; Bacillota; Bacilli; Caryophanales; Bacillaceae
Description: bacterial SSU rRNA
Rfam family: Bacterial small subunit ribosomal RNA
Source: RNAcentral